AGCGAACGCUGGCGGCAUGCCUAACACAUGCAAGUCGCACGGGUUGGCUUCGGUUGGUCAGUGUCGGGCGGGUGAGGAACGCGAAGCGUACUGUCCCCCGGCGGGGGCUAACCCCGGGACACUGCGGCUAAGACCGCAUCGGGCGCCGGUCGGAGUGCCGGUGGCAUAGGCGCGAAUCGAGCGGUGUGGGUCGCCGGGGGGUUGGCGUGCGUCCGCUUGGUUGGUGGGCGGGGUCGUGGCCCACCAAGGCGUCGAUCGGUAGCUGGUCUGAGAGGGUGACCAGCCAGACUGGGACAGAGACACGACCCAGACUCGUACGGGAGGCGGCAGUGGGGAAUAUUGGACGAUGGGCGCAAGACUGAUCGAGCAAUGCCGCGUGAGUGAGGAAGGUGUUCGGAAUGUAGAGCCCUUUCGGCGGGGACGAUGGUGACAGUACCCGAAGAAGAAGGCCCGGCUAACUUCGUG
This 465-nucleotide ribosomal RNA is filed under the name uncultured bacterium. RNAcentral's name for it is "partial 16S ribosomal RNA". It matches the Rfam family "Bacterial small subunit ribosomal RNA", at positions 28 to 507 of the family's 1533-position model. The record is from RNAcentral.